This 450-nucleotide ribosomal RNA is filed under the name uncultured bacterium. RNAcentral's name for it is "partial 16S ribosomal RNA". It matches the Rfam family "Bacterial small subunit ribosomal RNA", at positions 354 to 796 of the family's 1533-position model. The record is from RNAcentral.
GUGGGGAAUAUUGGACAAUGGGCGAAAGCCUGAUCCAGCCAUGCCGCGUGUGUGAAGAAGGUCUUCGGAUUGUAAAGCACUUUAAGUUGGGAGGAAGGGCAGUAAGUUAAUACCUUGCUGUUUUGACGUUACCAACAGAAUAAGCACCGGCUAACUUCGUGCCAGCAGCCGCGGUAAUACGAAGGGUGCAAGCGUUAAUCGGAAUUACUGUGCGUAAAGCGCGCGUAGGUGGUUCAGCAAGUUGAAGGUGAAAUCCCCGGGCUCAACCUGGGAACUGCCUCCAAAACUACUGAGCUAGAGUACGGUAGAGGGUAGUGGAAUUUCCUGUGUAGCGGUGAAAUGCGUAGAUAUAGGAAGGAACACCAGUGGCGAAGGCGACUACCUGGACUGAUACUGACACUGAGGUGCGAAAGCGUGGGGAGCAAACAGGAUUAGAAACCCUUGUAGUCC